AACAGAAAGACACCUAGCGCGCUGAUGACAUCACGCGUGGUGGGUCGCGCGC
This 52-nucleotide small RNA is filed under the name Sinorhizobium meliloti 2011. Its description in RNAcentral is "putative ncRNA". The record is from RNAcentral. Lineage: Bacteria; Pseudomonadati; Pseudomonadota; Alphaproteobacteria; Hyphomicrobiales; Rhizobiaceae.